RNAcentral lists this ribosomal RNA (775 nucleotides) under uncultured Neocallimastigales. RNAcentral describes it as "partial large subunit ribosomal RNA". It matches the Rfam family "Eukaryotic large subunit ribosomal RNA", at positions 23 to 647 of the family's 3401-position model. The record is from RNAcentral. Lineage: Eukaryota; Fungi; Neocallimastigomycota; Neocallimastigomycetes; Neocallimastigales.
AGAGAGAGACAUGCGCGCAUAUCAAUAAGCGGAGGAAAAGAAACUAACAAGGAUUCCCCUAGUAACGGCGAGUGAAGCGGGAAGAGCUCAAAUUUGAAAUCUUAAAGGGUUUCCCUUUACGAAUUGUAGUUUAAAGAAGUGUUUUCUGUUGAGGUUUUGGUAAAAGUUCUUUGGAAUAGGACAUCAUAGAGGGUGAGAAUCCCGUAUUUGACCUUUACUUUCAACUUUGUGAUACACUUUCAAAGAGUCGGAUUGUUUGGGAACUGCAGUCCAAAAUGGGUGGUAAAUUUCAUCUAAAGCUAAAUAUAGGCGAGAGACCGAUAGCGAACAAGUACCGUGAGGGAAAGAUGAAAGGAACUUUGAAAAGAGAGUUAAACAGUACGUGAAAUUGUCAAAAGGGAAGCGUUUGACACCAGUGUUGUUUUUCUGAAAAUCAAUUAAAGAACUGUUUAUGCUAAGCUGUUUAGACUUUAUCAGCUAUCUGUUUAGUUUUGAGCUUUUCUUUAAUGCACUUUUCAGUUAACAAGUCAACAUCAAUUUCUUUUGCUGUAAAAAAGCUUGAGGAAGGUGGCUUGAGAUUCGUCUUAAGUGUUUAUAGCCUCUUGCCUAUGCAGUCGGAGAGAUUGAGGUCUGCAGCGUAGAUCCUCCGGGGCUAAAUGCAUUUGUGCUAAGUUAUAGCAUUUUAUAGACAACUUGUUGACUAUGAUUUGUCUUGUAGCUUACUCGCUUAUGUUAUUUUACCUACGCUUAGGAUGUUGACGCAUGAGAUAUACGC